Molecule: ribosomal RNA, 247 nt
Filed under: uncultured bacterium
Lineage: Bacteria
Description: partial 16S ribosomal RNA
Rfam family: Bacterial small subunit ribosomal RNA
Source: RNAcentral
AACCUGCCCUUCAGAGGGGGACAACAGUUGGAAACGACUGCUAAUACCGCAUACGAUCAACCUCGGCAUCGAGGAUGGAUGAAAGGUGGCCUCUAUUUAUAAGCUAUCACUGAAGGAGGGGAUUGCGUCUGAUUAGCUAGUUGGAGGGGUAACGGCCCACCAAGGCAAUGAUCAGUAGCCGGUCUGAGAGGAUGAACGGCCACAUUGGGACUGAGACACGGCCCAGACUCCUACGGGAGGCAGCAUG